AUUGAACGCUGGCGGCAGGCCUAACACAUGCAAGUCGAACGGUAACAGGAAGAAGCUUGCUUCUUUGCUGACGAGUGGCGGACGGGUGAGUAAUGUCUGGGAAACUGCCUGAUGGAGGGGGAUAACUACUGGAAACGGUAGCUAAUACCGCAUAAUGUCUCCAGACCAAAGAGGGGGACCUUCGGGCCUCUUGCCAUCGGAUGUGCCCAGAUGGGAUUAGCUAGUAGGUGGGGUAACGGCUCACCUAGGCGACGAUCCCUAGCUGGUCUGAGAGGAUGACCAGCCACACUGGAACUGAGACACGGUCCAGACUCCUAAGGGAGGCAGCAGUGGGGAAUAUUGCACAAUGGGCGGAAGCCUGAUGCAGCUGUGCGGCGUGUAUGAAGGAGGCCUUCGGGUUGUAAAGUACUUUCAGCGGGGAGGAAGGGAGUAAAGUUAAUACCUUUGCUCAUUGACGGUACCCGCAGAAGAAGCACCGGCUAACUCCGUG
This 490-nucleotide ribosomal RNA is filed under the name uncultured bacterium. RNAcentral's name for it is "partial 16S ribosomal RNA". It matches the Rfam family "Bacterial small subunit ribosomal RNA", at positions 30 to 507 of the family's 1533-position model. The record is from RNAcentral.